UCGCCUGUUUAUCAAAAACAUCACCUCUAGCAUCACCAGUAUUUAGAGGCCUGCCUGCCCAGUGACACCAGUUUAACGGCCGCGGUAUUCUGACCGUGCAAAGGUAGCAUAAUCACUUGUUCUCCAAAUAAGGACUUGUAUGAAUGGCCACACGAGGGUUUUACUGUCUCUUACUUCCAAUCAGUGAAAUUGACCUUCCCGUGAAGAGGCGGGAAUAAAAAAAUAAGACGAGAAGACCCUAUGGAGCUUUAAUUAACUAUUCCAAAAGUUAAACAAUUCAACCACAAAGGGAUAAAACAUAACUUAACAUGGACUAGCAAUUUCGGUUGGGGUGACCUCGGAGUACAAAAAACCCUCCGAGUGAUUUUAAUCUAGACAAACCAGUCAAAAUAACCAUAACAUCACUUAUUGAUCCAAAAUUUUGAUCAACGGAACAAGUUACCCUAGGGAUAACAGCGCAAUCCUAUUCUAGAGUUCCUAUCGACAAUAGGGCUUACGACCUCGAUGUUGGAUCAGGACACCCAAAUGGUGCAACCGCUAUUAAAGGUUCGUUUGUUCAACGAUUAAAGUCCUACUCGAUCUGAGCUCCAACCGGA
RNAcentral lists this ribosomal RNA (596 nucleotides) under Scolothrips takahashii. RNAcentral's name for it is "partial 16S ribosomal RNA". It matches the Rfam family "Bacterial large subunit ribosomal RNA", at positions 1796 to 2620 of the family's 2925-position model. Lineage: Eukaryota; Metazoa; Arthropoda; Insecta; Thysanoptera; Thripidae. The record is from RNAcentral.